Molecule: long non-coding RNA, 574 nt
Organism: Symphalangus syndactylus (siamang)
Lineage: Eukaryota; Metazoa; Chordata; Mammalia; Primates; Hylobatidae
Source: RefSeq, a predicted model, not a curated record
UUUCAGGUUACCCCACCUGAACGUCCUCCUGGGAGGAAGCAGGGCAUGAAUCCGAAGGAAUUAGUGAAGUCUUUCCAUAGCCAUCCUUGAUGGCGGAGCGGAGGUGUGUCUCAGCAAAAAGAUGAUCGUUGGAUAUAUAAGGGCUACAGUCACUGAGAAAACUUCGCCCAAACUGCUCUUGGGUGAAUGUCUGGGGGCGUUAUUCCAUAAGUCUACAGCUUGAUUCAGUCUCCUGCUGAAAAUAUAAACGGGAAACAGCAGAGUCAAUGAAAGGAGACAAGUGGUGCUAACUGACUGACAAAGGGCUGAAGUAUAAGGUGCUGGGACCAGUUGUCAGUAAAGGGAGUAUGAUUCAAUGAAUCAAUUAAAUCAGGAUGGAGAAGAGAAGCAAAAAGUCCAAGCCAGAUAACUGGAACUACCUAUGAAACCGGAGGGUGUGGUGAACAAAAGCAAAACGAUUAGUCACAAGGUCAGGAGCAAGCAUUGGGAAACCUGGAUGAAGAAGAAGGUGGGAGAAGACAAGGAGGCUACCAUUUUCUCUGCAGGAAAUGGUGGUUAGCUCAAAGCAGAGGAG